Molecule: ribosomal RNA, 378 nt
Filed under: Pelecanoides georgicus
Lineage: Eukaryota; Metazoa; Chordata; Aves; Procellariiformes; Procellariidae
Description: 12S mitochondrial ribosomal RNA
Rfam family: Bacterial small subunit ribosomal RNA
Source: RNAcentral
GAUACUUACCCUACCGAAGUAUCCGCCUGAGAACUACGAGCACAAACGCUUAAAACUCUAAGGACUUGGCGGUGCUCCAAACCCACCUAGAGGAGCCUGUUCUAUAACCGAUAAUCCACGAUACACCCAACCGUUCUUUGCCAAAGCAGCCUACAUACCGCCGUCGCCAGCUCACCUUAUCUGAAAGUACUGCAGUGAGCACAAUAGCCUUCAACAUCGCUAGUAAGACAGGUCAAGGUAUAGCCCAUAGAGCGGAAGAAAUGGGCUACAUUUUCUAAAAUAGAAUAACACUACGGAAGAGAGUAUGAAAUUACCCUCGGAAGGUGGAUUUAGCAGUAAAGUGGGAUAAUAACUGCCCACUUAAAGCUGGCCCUGGAG